GAAAUGCGAAAUGCAAUGCGAAUUGCAGAAUCCGUGAGUCAUCAGAUCUUCGAACGCAAAUUGCUCCGGAGGGCUCUCCUUCCGGCAUGUUUGUUUCAGUGUGUUGGUUGCUAUCAAGAAAAUAAAUGCGAUUGAGUUUCUUUCGCUAAAGAUGAAUUUGUAAACAAUGGUCAUCUCGUAUGAUUUGUUUAUGAGUAAUCAUAAAUUCUUCGAUCGGCACCUGAAAUCAAGCAAGAUCACCCGCUGAACUUAA
Molecule: unclassified non-coding RNA, 253 nt
Filed under: uncultured fungus
Lineage: Eukaryota; Fungi
Description: sequence contains ITS1
Rfam family: 5.8S ribosomal RNA (bases 1-104)
Source: RNAcentral